Molecule: ribosomal RNA, 459 nt
Filed under: uncultured bacterium
Lineage: Bacteria
Description: bacterial SSU rRNA
Rfam family: Bacterial small subunit ribosomal RNA
Source: RNAcentral
GAUGAAUGCUGGCGGCGUGCCUAAUACAUGCAAGUCGAGCGGUAAGGCCCUUCGGGGUACACGAGCGGCGGACGGCUGAGUAACGCGUGGGAACAUGCCCCAAAGUGAGGGAUAACGCACCGAAAGGUGUGCUAAUACCGCAUAUGGUCUUCGGAUUAAAGGAUUUAUCCGCUUUGGGAGUGGCCCGCGUACGAUUAGAUUGUUGGUGAGGUAACGGCUCACCAAGUCGACGAUCGUUAACUGGUCUGAGAGGAUGAUCAGUCAGACUGGAACUGAGACACGGUCCAGACUCCUACGGGAGGCAGCAGUAAGGGAUCUUCCACAAUGGGCGAAAGCCUGAUGGAGCAACGCCGCGUGCAGGAUGAAGGCCCUCGGGUCGUAAACUGCUUUAUGAGUGAAGAAUAUGACGGUAACUCCUGAAUAAGCACCGGCUAACUACGUGCCAGCAGCCGCGGUAAU